AUGAGUACUGCAAGUCUCAAGAUUAAGCCAUGCAUGUCUAAGCAUAAACUAAACUAAAGUGAAGCCACGAAUAGCUCAUUACAACAGCCGUUGUUUCUUGGAUCUCCGCUCUACUUGGAUAACUGAGGUAAUUCUUGAGCUAAUACAUGCAGACGAGCUCUGACUUUACAGGAAGAGCGCAUUUAUUAGACCAAAAUCAAUCGGCUUCGGCCGUUUUUGGUGACUCUGAAUAACUACGCAGAUCGCUCAGGUUUUAUACCGGCGACAUGUCCUUCAAGUGUCUGCCUUAUCAACUUUCGAUGGUAGUUUCUAAGCCUACCAUGGUUGCGACGGGUAACGGAGAAUUAGGGUUCGACUCCGGAGAGGGAGCCUGAGAAACGGCUACCACUUCUAAGGAAGGCAGCAGGCGCGCAAAUUACCCACUCUCGGAUAGAGGAGGUAGUGACGAAAAAUAACGAGACAACCCGCUCUAGCGAGUUGUCAUCGGAAUGAGUACAAUCUAAAUCCUUUAACAAGGAUCUAGCGGAGGGCAAGUCUGGUGCCAGCAGCCGCGGUAAUUCCAGCUCCGCCAGUGUAUAUCUAUGCUGUUGCGGUUAAAAAGCUCGUAGUUGGAUCUUCGUGUCAGGGACCGGUCCACCUUUGUGGUGUGCACUGGCUUCCGACACUAAACCGUCAGUUUUCUGUUGGUGCCCUUCACCGGGUGUCUUCAGUGGCUGGCAUGUUUACUUUGAAAAAAUUAGAGUGCUCAAAACAAGCGUCUCGCUUGAAUAUUCGUGCAUGGAAUAAUAGAAUAGGACCUCGGCUCUAUUUUGUUGGUUUUCGGAACGCGAGGUAAUGAUUAAGAGGGACAGACGGGGGCAUUCGUAUUGCGACGUUAGAGGUGAAAUUCUUGGAUCGUCGCAAGACGGACGACUGCGAAAGCAUUUGCCAAGAAUGUUUUCAUUAAUCAAGAACGAAAGUUAGAGGUUCGAAGGCGAUCAGAUACCGCCCUAGUUCUAACCGUAAACGAUGCCCAACUAGCGAUCCGCAGCGUUAAACAACGACCUUGCGGGCAGCUUCCCCGGAAACGAAAGUGUCUGGUUCCGGGGAGUAUGGUGCAAGCUGAACUAAGAUGACGAGGCACCACCAGGAGUGGAGCCUGCGCUAAUUUGACUCAACAC
Molecule: ribosomal RNA, 1160 nt
Filed under: uncultured eukaryote
Lineage: Eukaryota
Description: bacterial SSU rRNA
Rfam family: Eukaryotic small subunit ribosomal RNA
Source: RNAcentral